AAGUCGUAACAAGGUCUCCGUAGGUGAACCUGCGGAGGGAUCAUUAUAGAAAAACAUAUUGAACCCGGAGGGGGGGAGAGAGUGUGAGCUCUCUUUUUCUUUCUGGGCAAACAACCAACACACAUGACUAGGAAAAAGAGACUGGAUUGGGCGAGGCGAGAGAGAUUCUCGCAAGAGAGAGAAAAGUUCUUGUCUGAUAAAGUAGCUUGCUGAUUUGGAGUUACUACAAUCAAUACAACUUUCAACAACGGAUCUCUUGGCUCUCACAUCGAUGAAGAACAUAGCAAAGUGUGAAAAUUAAUGUGAAUUGCAGAAUUCAGUGAAUCAUCGAGUUUUGAACGCAUCUUGCACUUCUUGGUAUUCCAAGGAGUAUGCCUGGUGAGUAAUGUUUAACCAAUCUAAUCAGUCUCUUGAUGGUGCUGUGCGGGGGGAGUCUCUCCGCCUCUAUCAAAGUAGAUUGGAAUUGAGUGUCUUACCUUGUCUGAAUCUGACAAGGUUCACUUGAAAUGCAGGGGAACAAGAUCUUGGGAUUCUUUCCCAAGACGUUGGCAUGGAGACUUGAUCCAUCUAACAAUGACUUGAUGAAUGAAUCUUGUCUCAUCUCAAAGUCUUGCUUAGAAAAGUCUCGGCUCUUUAACCAAGAGCAAGAACAACAUGCACUCUUGUUUCCACAACUAGGGAAGCGCGUCAAGAGGGAAAACUCUCUCUUGGCCCUCGAUUCUUCAUUCUCAACUCAGACAAGACUACCCGCUGAAUUUAA
Molecule: ribosomal RNA, 760 nt
Filed under: uncultured fungus
Lineage: Eukaryota; Fungi
Description: eukaryotic LSU rRNA
Rfam family: 5.8S ribosomal RNA (bases 237-388)
Source: RNAcentral